Lagenorhynchus albirostris (white-beaked dolphin) is the source of this 415-nucleotide long non-coding RNA. RefSeq lists it as uncharacterized. NCBI's taxonomy places the organism in Eukaryota, Metazoa, Chordata, Mammalia, Artiodactyla, Delphinidae. The record is from RefSeq and is a predicted model, not a curated record. The transcript has 3 exons.
AGCAAUGGGGAGAACAGAAAAAGUCUAUGUCCCUCCUUCCAUUCCAGUGUUGGGGUCGAAGGAUGAGCAAAAAAUGAAUAUUUCCGGGUCCUUUGAUACACGUGUCAGGCCUUUGUGGGGAAGAGGAGAGCUUUCAACUGAUGAACAAGCAACUCACAGAGGUGACAUGAGUUGAAAACCUAAGUCGGUUCAAGGAGACUUGAGAAAAACCCAUGCGCAGAACUUCAUUCAGUCACUGGGAACAUUAACAUGAUGAGGGAAACACAAGCCACACACUUCUCCAUUUGUCCACCAUCUUCCUGGGACCUACACCUGAAUAUGGCUGGAUGGUAUAGUGUGAGCCACCUGACGUCAAAGCUGAGAGAGACAUGCCAUUUGCAGGCUAGACAUGCAUAUCACCGGUGCCAAUAUACAG